GACGAACCCUGGCGGCGUGCUUAACACAUGCAAGUCGAACGGAAAGGCCCUGCUUUGGUGGGGUGCUCGAGUGGCGAACGGGUAAGUAACACGUGAGUAACCUGCCCUUGACUUUGGGAUAACUUCAGGAAACUGGGGCUAAUCCCGGAUAGGAGCUCCUGCUGCAUUGUGUGGGUGGGAAAGUUUCGGCGGUUGGGGAUGGACUCGCGGCUUAUCAGCUUGUUGGUGGGGUAGUGGCUUACCAAGGCUUUGACGGGUAGCCGGCCUGAGAGGGUGACCGGCCACAUUGGGACUGAGAUACGGCCCAGACUCCUACGGGAGGCAGCAGUGGGGAAUAUUGCACAAUGGGCGGAAGCCUGAUGCAGCAACGCCGCGUGCGGGAUGACGGCCUUCGGGUUGUAAACCGCUUUCGCCUGUGACGAAGCGUGAGUGACGGUAAUGGGUAAAGAAGCACCGGCUAACUACGUG
RNAcentral lists this ribosomal RNA (468 nucleotides) under uncultured bacterium. Its description in RNAcentral is "partial 16S ribosomal RNA". It matches the Rfam family "Bacterial small subunit ribosomal RNA", at positions 28 to 507 of the family's 1533-position model. The record is from RNAcentral.